This is a ribosomal RNA of Cercocebus atys (sooty mangabey), 118 nucleotides long. NCBI's taxonomy places the organism in Eukaryota, Metazoa, Chordata, Mammalia, Primates, Cercopithecidae. The record is from Ensembl.
GUCUACAGCCAUACCACCCUGAAUGUGCCUGAUCUCGUCUGAUCUUGGAAACUAAGCAGGGUCGGGCCUGGUGAGUACCUGGAUGAGAGACCACUGGGAAUACUGGGUGCUGUAAGCU